Molecule: ribosomal RNA, 579 nt
Filed under: Papiliotrema laurentii
Lineage: Eukaryota; Fungi; Basidiomycota; Tremellomycetes; Tremellales; Rhynchogastremaceae
Description: partial large subunit ribosomal RNA
Rfam family: Eukaryotic large subunit ribosomal RNA
Source: RNAcentral
CCGGGAAGAGCUCAAAUUUGAAAUCUGGCGUCCUCAGGGCGUCCGAGUUGUAAUCUAUAGAGGCGUUUUCCGUGCCGGACCGUGUCCAAGUUCCUUGGAACAGGAUAUCAAAGAGGGUGACAAUCCCGUACUUGACACGACGACCGGUGCUCUGUGAUACGUCUUCUACGAGUCGAGUUGUUUGGGAAUGCAGCUCAAAAUGGGUGGUGAGUUCCAUCUAAAGCUAAAUAUUGGCGAGAGACCGAUAGCGAACAAGUACCGUGAGGGAAAGAUGAAAAGCACUUUGGAAAGAGAGUUAAACAGUACGUGAAAUUGUUGAAAGGGAAACGAUUGAAGUCAGUCGUGACCGAGAGGCUCAGCCGGCUCUGCCGGUGUAUUCCCCUCGGUCGGGUCAACAUCAGUUUUGUCCGGUGGAUAAGGGCGGUAGGAAGGUGGCACCCUCGGGUGUGUUAUAGCCUGCCGUCGCAUACAUCGGGUGAGACUGAGGAACGCAGCUCGCCUUUAUGGCCGGGGUUCGCCCACGUCCGAGCUUAGGAUGUUGACAUAAUGGCUUUAAACGACCCGUCUUGAAACACGGAC